Long non-coding RNA from Ictalurus furcatus (blue catfish), 858 nucleotides. RefSeq lists it as uncharacterized. The record is from RefSeq and is a predicted model, not a curated record. NCBI's taxonomy places the organism in Eukaryota, Metazoa, Chordata, Actinopteri, Siluriformes, Ictaluridae. The transcript has 3 exons.
GUGUCAGCGCUUUGUAACAGCCAGAGGUCAAGCUGGAACUUUUAAGUUUUACGACAUCUUCAGGACGGACGAGUUUACGCUUCUUUCGCGGAUCCUCACGAGAGAAUGGAGAGAUUCUGUCAGUCUGAUGAGUAGCUAAAGAGACGAGUGGACAUGGUGUCUUGGAGUGUGUGCGUGUGUGUGUGUGUGUGUGUGUGUGUAUGUGUUACCUGUAACCAUCGAUGCAGCUGGCGUUGAUGUAGUCGGACCCCUCCACGCCUCUGAUUGGCUGCAGACACACACGCGUCGACUCGAACGGCAUGAUGUUCACCAGUCGGUUCUUGAACUUGUUGCACGGCAGGUUGGCGCUGAUGAAGCGUGAUGUGUGAGCUCUGGAGUUGGCCAGCCUCUGCACACACACACACACACAGAUUUUUAAUACCAUUAAUUAAGAAUAAUAAUAAUAAUAAUAAUAAUAAUAAUAAUCCUGUACAGCGAAGGACGACAGAAUCACGACUGCACAGCAGACUUCAGCUCCCCCUAGUGACCUUAAACUCGAGCUCCAUGGAGCUGACGGUGUCUCCGGGCGGGGGCUGGCUCAGUUUUUGGAUGUGUGUGUAGAGGUUUCGUGCCGGGACCUCGGUGACGCCGCAGGUCGCCGCCUCCAGCAGCGCCUCGUGGAUGAAGAUGUAUUGAUCCUCCGUCUGCACCAUGUAGUUCCUCUGAGAGCGCAUGCACGUCACGUGGCCGUAAAUGUCCACCGUCUUCUCGUGCUUCAUGCGCUCCAGCAUGGCGUCGAUCACGAUGAGGCAGCCGGUGCGACCCACGCCGGCACUGACGGGUUAAAACAAACAAACAAAAAAAAAAACCCAGAUUCAA